GAUGAACGCUGGCGGUAUGCCUAACACAUGCAAGUCGUACGAGAGUUUUUAACUCUAGUGGCGGACGGGUGAGUAACACGUGAGAAUUUGCCUUUAGGAGGGGGACAACAAUUGGAAACGAAUGCUAAUACCCCCAUAUGCUUUCGAGUGAAAUGGAUUUUAUCCGCCUAGAGAGAAGCUCGCGGCUGAUUAGCUUGUUGGUAAGGUAAGAGCUUACCAAGGCGACGAUCAGUAUCUGGUUUGAGAGGACGAUCAGACACACUGGAACUGAGACACGGUCCAGACUCCUACGGGAGGCAGCAGUGGGGAAUUUUCCGCAAUGGGCGAAAGCCUGACGGAGCAAUACCGCGUGAGGGAAGAAUGCCUAUGGGUUGUAAACCUCUUUUUCAGGGAGGAAUAAAAUGACGUGUACCUGAAGAAUAAGCAUCGGCUAACUCCGUG
RNAcentral lists this ribosomal RNA (441 nucleotides) under uncultured bacterium. RNAcentral's name for it is "bacterial SSU rRNA". It matches the Rfam family "Bacterial small subunit ribosomal RNA", at positions 28 to 507 of the family's 1533-position model. The record is from RNAcentral.